GUAAAGUAGAAGUGGCUGGAAUAAGUAGUGUAGCGGUGAAAUGCAUAGAUAUUACUUAGAACACCAAUUGCGAAGGCAGGUCACUAUGUUUUAACUGACGCUGAUGGACGAAAGCGUGGGUAGCGAACAGGAUUAGAUACCCUGGUAGUCCACGCCGUAAACGAUGCUAACUCGUUUUUGGGCUUUCGGGCUCAGAGACCAAGCGAAAGUGAUAAGUUAGCCACCUGGGGAGUACGUUCGCAAGAAUGAAACUCAAAGGAAUUGACGGGGGCCCGCACAAGCGGUGGAUUAUGUGGUUUAAUUCGAUGAUACGCGAGGAACCUUACCAAGACUUAAAUGGGAAAUGACAGGUUUAGAAAUAGACCCUUCUUCGGACAUUUUUCAAGGUGCUGCAUGGUUGUCGUCAGCUCGUGCCGUGAGGUGUUAGGUUAAGUCCUGCAACGAGCGCAACCCCUGUCACUAGUUGCUAACAUUCAGUUGAGGACUCUAGUGAGACUGCCUACGCAAGUAGAGAGGAAGGUGGGGAUGACGUCAAAUCAUCACGGCCCUUACGUCUUGGGCCACACACGUAAUACAAUGGCCGGU
RNAcentral lists this ribosomal RNA (585 nucleotides) under Chryseobacterium sp. 594. RNAcentral describes it as "bacterial SSU rRNA". It matches the Rfam family "Bacterial small subunit ribosomal RNA", at positions 646 to 1238 of the family's 1533-position model. The record is from RNAcentral. Lineage: Bacteria; Pseudomonadati; Bacteroidota; Flavobacteriia; Flavobacteriales; Weeksellaceae. RNAcentral also lists the same sequence under 2 other names.